GAUGAACGCUGGCGGCGUGCUUAACACAUGCAAGUCGAACGAAGCACUUUAACCUGAUUCUUCGGAUGAAGGUUUUUGUGACUGAGUGGCGGACGGGUGAGUAACGCGUGGGUAACCUGCCUCAUGCAGGGGGAUAACAGUUAGAAAUGACUGCUAAUACCGCAUAAGACCACAGAGCCGCAUGGCUCGGUGGGAAAAACUCCGGUGGUAUGAGAUGGACCCGCGUCUGAUUAGGUAGUUGGUGGGGUAACGGCCUACCAAGCCAACGAUCAGUAGCCGACCUGAGAGGGUGACCGGCCACAUUGGGACUGAGACACGGCCCAAACUCCUACGGGAGGCAGCAGUGGGGAAUAUUGCACAAUGGGGGAAACCCUGAUGCAGCGACGCCGCGUGAGCGAAGAAGUAUUUCGGUAUGUAAAGCUCUAUCAGCAGGGAAGAAAAUGACGGUACCUGACUAAGAAGCACCGGCUAAAUACGUG
This 479-nucleotide ribosomal RNA is filed under the name uncultured bacterium. RNAcentral's name for it is "partial 16S ribosomal RNA". It matches the Rfam family "Bacterial small subunit ribosomal RNA", at positions 28 to 507 of the family's 1533-position model. The record is from RNAcentral.